CCCCCUCAGGUCCCCUCGGGGCGCCCGCCAGCGGUCAGCGAGCCGCCCGAACUUUUUUAUCAACAGCAACCGUUCCGUCUGAGCAACAAACAAAAAUAAGCAAAACUUUCAACAACGGAUCUCUUGGCUCUGGCAUCGAUGAAGAACGCAGCGAAAUGCGAUACGUAAUGCGAAUUGCAGAAUUCAGCGAGUCAUCGAAUCUUUGAACGCACAUUGCGCCCGCCAGCAUUCUGGCGGGCAUGCCUGUCCGAGCGUCAUUUCCCCCCUCAGCGCACUCUCGCGCUGGCGUUGGGGCUCCUCCGCCCCCCGGGCGGCAGGGCCCUCAAAACCAGUGGCGGGCCCAGCUGGUGGCUCCGAGCGCAGUACCGAACGCAUGUUCUCCUCUCGCUCUGCAGCUCCGGCCGGCGCCCAGCCGUCAAGCCGCGCGGGCGGCCAGCGUCUUUUCGCUGGACGCCCCGCACUUUGUACCAAGGUGACCUCGGAUCAGGUAG
RNAcentral lists this small RNA (491 nucleotides) under Ophiostoma fuscum. RNAcentral's name for it is "eukaryotic LSU rRNA". The stretch from base 104 to 257 matches the Rfam family "5.8S ribosomal RNA". The record is from RNAcentral. Lineage: Eukaryota; Fungi; Ascomycota; Sordariomycetes; Ophiostomatales; Ophiostomataceae.